GGGGAAUAUUGCGCAAUGGGGGGAACCCUGACGCAGCGACGCCGCGUGAGUGAAGAAGGUUUUCGGAUCGUAAAACUCUGUCAUUGGGGAAGAAGGAAGUGACGGUACCCAAUGAGGAAGCCCCGGCUAACUACGUGCCAGCAGCCGCGGUAAUACGUAGGGGGCGAGCGUUGUCCGGAAUUACUGGGCGUAAAGGGUGCGUAGGCGGCCGAUCAAGUCAGAUGUGAAAUACCACGGCUCAACUGUGGGGGUGCAUAUGAAACUGGUUGGCUUGAGUGCAGGAGAGGAAAGUGGAAUUCCUAGUGUAGCGGUGAAAUGCGUAGAGAUUAGGAGGAACACCAGUGGCGAAGGCGACUUUCUGGACUGCAACUGACGCUGAGGCACGAAAGCGUGGGGAGCGAAC
Molecule: ribosomal RNA, 403 nt
Filed under: uncultured bacterium
Lineage: Bacteria
Description: bacterial SSU rRNA
Rfam family: Bacterial small subunit ribosomal RNA
Source: RNAcentral